GAUGAACGCUGGCUACAGGCUUAACACAUGCAAGUCGAGGGGAAACGACCUGCUAGCUUGCUUCCCCGGGCUUCGACCGGCGCACGGGUGAGUAACGCGUAUCCAACCUGCCUCUGACUUAGGUUUAACCCGUCGAAAGUCGGCCUAAUACCUCAUUCCAUCGUCUUCGGGCAUCCAACGACGAUUAAGGAUUUCAUCGGUCACUCAUGGGGUUGCGUCUGAUUAGCUUGUUGGUGGGGUAACGGCCCACCAAGGCUACGAUCAGUAGGGGUUCUGAGAGGAAGGUGCCUCAGAGUGGGACUGAGAAAAGGGCGAAACACAUACGGGAGGCAGCAGUGAGGAAUGUAGGAGAAUGGGAGAGAGCCUGAACCAGGCAAGUAGGAUGCAGGAAGGCGGCGCGAUGGGUUAUAAACUGCUGUUAUGAGGGGGUAAAGGGAGGGACGGGACCGUGAUUGAAGGUAACGGAUGAAUAAGGACCGGCUAAUUCCGUG
Molecule: ribosomal RNA, 491 nt
Filed under: uncultured bacterium
Lineage: Bacteria
Description: partial 16S ribosomal RNA
Rfam family: Bacterial small subunit ribosomal RNA
Source: RNAcentral